CAAGAUUGAGACUUAAAGGAAUUGACGGGUACCCGCACAAGUAGCGGAGCAUGUGGUUUAAGUCGAAGCAACGCGAAGAACCGUACCUAAGCUUGACAUCCCAAUGCCAUCUCCUUAAUCGGAGAGUUCCCUUCGGGGACAUCGGUGACAGGUGGUGCAUGGUUGUCGUCAGCUCGUGUCGUGAGAUGUUGGGUUCAGUCCCGCAACGAGCGCAACCCUAGUCUUUAGUUGACAUAAUUAAGUUAGGCACUCUAGAGAGACUGCCAGGGCUAACCUGGAGGAAGGUGGGGAUGACGUAAAAUCAUCAUGCCCCUUAUGNUUAGAGAUCAACACGUGAUACUAAGGGUAGUGAAGAGGGUUGCCAAGACGUCAGAUGUAGAUAAACAAACAAAG
This 393-nucleotide ribosomal RNA is filed under the name Clostridioides difficile. RNAcentral describes it as "bacterial SSU rRNA". It matches the Rfam family "Bacterial small subunit ribosomal RNA", at positions 889 to 1281 of the family's 1533-position model. The record is from RNAcentral. Lineage: Bacteria; Bacillati; Bacillota; Clostridia; Peptostreptococcales; Peptostreptococcaceae.